AUGGUUAAGUUAGAAAGGGCGCACGGUGGAUGCCUUGGCACUAGGAGCCGAAGAAGGACGGGACUAACACCGAUAUGCUUUGGGGAGCUGUACGUAAGCGUUGAUCCAGAGAUUUCCGAAUGGGGGAACCCACUAUCUUUAGUCGGAUAGUAUCCUUACGUGAAUACAUAGCGUAAGGAAGGCAGACCCAGGGAACUGAAACAUCUAAGUACCUGGAGGAAGAGAAAGAAAAAUCGAUUUCCUGAGUAGCGGCGAGCGAAACGGAAAGAGCCCAAACCAAGAAGCUUGCUUCUUGGGGUUGUAGGACACUCUAUACGGAGUUACAAAGGAAUGUGGUAAACGAAGUGGUCUGGAAAGGCCCGCCAAAGAAGGUAACAGCCCUGUAAUUGAAAGCAUAUUCCCUCCAGAGUGGAUCCUGAGUACGGCGGAACACGUGAAAUUCCGUCGGAAUCCGGGAGGACCAUCUCCCAAGGCUAAAUACUCCCUAGUGACCGAUAGUGAACCAGUACCGUGAGGGAAAGGUGAAAAGCACCCCGGAAGGGGAGUGAAACAGUUCCUGAAACCGUGUGCCUACAAGUAGUUAGAGCCCGUUAAUGGGUGAUAGCGUGCCUUUUGUAGAAUGAACCGGCGAGUUACGAUUUGUUGCAAGGUUAAGCGGAAAAAGCGGAGCCGUAGCGAAAGCGAGUCUGAAUAGGGCGCAUGAGUAACAGGUCGUAGACCCGAAACCAGGUGAUCUACCCAUGUCCAGGAUGAAGGUGAGGUAAUACUCACUGGAGGUCCGAACCCACGCACGUUGAAAAGUGCGGGGAUGAGGUGUGGGUAGCGGAGAAAUUCCAAUCGAACCUGGAGAUAGCUGGUUCUCUCCGAAAUAGCUUUAGGGCUAGCCUCGAGGUAAAGAGUCGUGGAGGUAGAGCACUGUUUGGACUAGGGGCCCUUCUCGGGUUACCGAAUUCAGAUAAACUCCGAAUGCCAUGUACUUAUACUCGGGAGUCAGACUGCGAGUGAUAAGAUCCGUAGUCGAAAGGGAAACAGCCCAGACCACCAGUUAAGGUCCCAAAAUAUAUGUUAAGUGGAAAAGGAUGUGGGGUUGCAUAGACAACCAGGAUGUUGGCUUAGAAGCAGCCACCAUUGAAAGAGUGCGUAAUAGCUCACUGGUCGAGUGACCCCGCGCCGAAAAUGUACCGGGGCUAAACAUAUUACCGAAACUGUGGAUGAACCUCUUCGGAGGUUCGUGGUAGGAGAGCGUUCUAAGGGCGGUGAAGUCAGACCGGAAGGACUGGUGGAGCGCUUAGAAGUGAGAAUGCCGGUAUGAGUAGCGAAAGAAGGGUGAGAAUCCCUUCCACCGAAUAUCUAAGGUUUCCUGAGGAAGGCUCGUCCGCUCAGGGUUAGUCGGGACCUAAGCUGAGGCCGAUAGGCGUAGGCGAUGGACAACAGGUAGAUAUUCCUGUACCAGUGCUAGUUGUUUGAGCAAUGGGGUGACACAGAAGGAUAGGGAAUCGCACAGAUGGAAACGUGCGUCCAAGCAGUGAGUGUGAGAAGUAGGCAAAUCCGCUUCUCGCGAAGCAUGAGCUGUGAUGGGGAAGGAAAUU
Molecule: ribosomal RNA, 1589 nt
Filed under: Listeria booriae
Lineage: Bacteria; Bacillati; Bacillota; Bacilli; Caryophanales; Listeriaceae
Description: partial 23S ribosomal RNA
Rfam family: Bacterial large subunit ribosomal RNA
Source: RNAcentral